GGAUAUCCAGCCGGAUAUUAGUGCUUUA
RNAcentral lists this small RNA (28 nucleotides) under Bombyx mori (domestic silkworm). RNAcentral's name for it is "ovarian small RNA-17329". The record is from RNAcentral. Lineage: Eukaryota; Metazoa; Arthropoda; Insecta; Lepidoptera; Bombycidae.